This 286-nucleotide long non-coding RNA is filed under the name Elaeis guineensis (African oil palm). RNAcentral's name for it is "long non-coding RNA (EGUI_LNC006415)". The record is from RNAcentral. Lineage: Eukaryota; Viridiplantae; Streptophyta; Magnoliopsida; Arecales; Arecaceae.
AUAUGAAAGAAAAUGCUAAGGAAGAGACAUGAUCAAACAGUGUAUAUUAUAAAAAAAAGAUCAAUCAUUCCUUUGCAUUAAAGAUACAACGCGAGCCCUUUCUCCCUCCUUUGACUCUCCAGCCCAAACCACAAAAUCUUGAGAUGCCCAUGGGUGAAUCGGUUAGUCUCCUUCGGAGUCUUGCACCAAGAUUCGAUCUUCCGGAUCAGAUUCCCCAACAGAAGUUUUUGCGCAUUUCACUAUCACUUUUGGCUCAUCUUCUCUGAACCUACCUAACACAGUACCA